AGUGAACGCUGGCGGUAGGCCUAACACAUGCAAGUCGAACGGCAGCACAGUAAGAGCUUGCUCUUACGGGUGGCGAGUGGCGGACGGGUGAGGAAUACAUCGGAAUCUACUUUUUCGUGGGGGAUAACGUAGGGAAACUUACGCUAAUACCGCAUACGACCUACGGGUGAAAGCAGGGGAUCUUCGGACCUUGCGCGAUUGAAUGAGCCGAUGUCGGAUUAGCUAGUUGGCGGGGUAAAGGCCCACCAAGGCGACGAUCCGUAGCUGGUCUGAGAGGAGGAUCGGCGACACUGGAACUGGGACACGGUCCAGACGCCUACGGGAGGCAGCAGUGGGGAAUAUUGGACAAUGGGCGCAAGCCUGAUCCAGCCAUACCGCGUGUGUGAAGAAGGCCUUCGGGUUGUAAAGCCCUUUUGUUGGGAAAGAAAAGCAGCAGGUUAAUACCCCGCUGUUCUGACGGUACCCAAAGAAUAAGCACCGGCUAACUUCGUG
This 492-nucleotide ribosomal RNA is filed under the name uncultured bacterium. RNAcentral describes it as "partial 16S ribosomal RNA". It matches the Rfam family "Bacterial small subunit ribosomal RNA", at positions 29 to 507 of the family's 1533-position model. The record is from RNAcentral.